AUUGAACGCUGGCGGCAUGCUUUACACAUGCAAGUCGAACGGUAACAGGCCUUCGGGUGCUGACGAGUGGCGAACGGGUGAGUAAUGCAUCGGAACGUGCCCAGAGGUGGGGGAUAACGCAGCGAAAGCUGUGCUAAUACCGCAUGUGAUCUGAGGAUGAAAGCGGGGGACCAGGCAGCAAUGUUUGGCCUCGCGCCUUUGGAGCGGCCGAUGUCAGAUUAGGGAGUUGGUGGGGUAAAGGCCUACCAAGCCGACGAUCUGUAGCUGGUCUGAGAGGACGACCAGCCACACUGGGACUGAGACACGGCCCAGACUCCUACGGGAGGCAGCAGUGGGGAAUUUUGGACAAUGGGCGCAAGCCUGAUCCAGCAAUGCCGCGUGCGGGAAGAAGGCCUUCGGGUUGUAAACCGCUUUUGUACGGAACGAAAAGGCUCUGGCUAAUACCUGGGGCUGAUGACGGUACCGUAAGAAUAAGCACCGGCUAACUACGUG
RNAcentral lists this ribosomal RNA (492 nucleotides) under uncultured bacterium. RNAcentral's name for it is "partial 16S ribosomal RNA". It matches the Rfam family "Bacterial small subunit ribosomal RNA", at positions 30 to 507 of the family's 1533-position model. The record is from RNAcentral.